Molecule: ribosomal RNA, 406 nt
Filed under: uncultured bacterium
Lineage: Bacteria
Description: partial 16S ribosomal RNA
Rfam family: Bacterial small subunit ribosomal RNA
Source: RNAcentral
AUUGAACGCUGGCGGCAUGCCUAACACAUGCAAGUCGAGCGAGCGGCGGACGGGUGAUUAAUGUCUGUGAAACUGCCUGAUGGAUGGGGAUAACUACUGGAAACGGUAGCUAAUACCGCAUACCAUCAGAUGUGCCCAGAUGGGAUUAGCUAGUAGGUGGGGUAAUGGCGCACCUAGGCGACGAUCCCUAGCUGGUCUGAGAGGAUGACCAGCCACAUGGGAACUGAGACACGGUCCAGACUCCUACGGGAGGCAGCAGUGGGGAAUAUUGCACAAUGGGCGCAAGCCUGAUGCAGCCAUGCCGCGUGUGUGAAGAAGGCCUUCGGGUUGUAAAGCACUUUUAGCGAGGAAGCGUUACUCGCAGAAGAAGCACCGGCUAACUACGUGCCAGCAGCCGCGGUAAUAC